Molecule: transfer RNA, 61 nt
Filed under: Ictidomys tridecemlineatus (thirteen-lined ground squirrel)
Lineage: Eukaryota; Metazoa; Chordata; Mammalia; Rodentia; Sciuridae
Description: Spermophilus tridecemlineatus (thirteen-lined ground squirrel) tRNA
Rfam family: tRNA
About the family: Transfer RNA (tRNA) molecules are approximately 80 nucleotides in length.
Source: Rfam by way of RNAcentral
UGUAGCUCAGUGGUAGAGUGCUUGUCUCGCAAGCAUGAGGCCCUAGGUUCAAUCCUCAGCA